GAGAGUAUAGCUCAAGUGGUAGAGCACAUGCUUAGCAUGCAUGAGGUCCUGGGUUCAAUCCCCAGUACCUCCU
RNAcentral lists this transfer RNA (73 nucleotides) under Camelus bactrianus (Bactrian camel). It matches the Rfam family "tRNA". Rfam says of the family: Transfer RNA (tRNA) molecules are approximately 80 nucleotides in length. Lineage: Eukaryota; Metazoa; Chordata; Mammalia; Artiodactyla; Camelidae. RNAcentral also lists the same sequence under 3 other names. The record is from Rfam by way of RNAcentral.